This 253-nucleotide ribosomal RNA is filed under the name uncultured prokaryote. RNAcentral's name for it is "partial 16S ribosomal RNA". It matches the Rfam family "Bacterial small subunit ribosomal RNA", at positions 524 to 776 of the family's 1533-position model. The record is from RNAcentral.
UACGAAGGGUGCAAGCGUUAAUCGGAAUUACUGGGCGUAAAGCGUGCGUAGGUGGUCUUUUAAGUCCGUUGUGAAAGCCCUGGGCUCAACCUGGGAAUGGCAGUGGAUACUGGAAGGCUGGAGUACGGUAGAGGCAGAUGGAAUUCCGGGUGUAGCGGUGGAAUGCGUAGAGAUCCGGAAGAACACCGGUGGCGAAGGCGGUCUGCUGGGCCGUGGCUGACGCUGAGGCGCGACAGCGUGGGGAGCAAACAGG